RNAcentral lists this long non-coding RNA (1736 nucleotides) under Mytilus galloprovincialis (Mediterranean mussel). The record is from RNAcentral. Lineage: Eukaryota; Metazoa; Mollusca; Bivalvia; Mytilida; Mytilidae.
AUUAAAAUAAUUUCAUCCAAAGAACAUUGGGAGGGGGGGGGGCUUAAAAAAAACUGAAAUCAGGUCAUGCACACACCUAUGAAGACCUGAUUGAUGUCUUUUGGGGUAUUGGUGGCAGAGUGCUCUAUAGUAGUCAAAAAAAUAACAAACCAGAUGCCCCGCAGGGCGCAGCUGUAUACUACCGCAGAGUCAAACCUUGAAAAGUUGGCGCAAGUAUGGACACAACAUAAAAGCUUGGUACAGCUCUGAAUUUGGAUUGUGAUUAAAUAGUUGACACAAUAUAGGUUUCUGACACGAAUGAAUGUGGUCUAUGAACUUAAACAUAAAAACUUAAAAAUUUCAAAUUGGACAUUUAAAAACCAAUUAUGCCCAAAUUGGCACCUCAAUCAACCAGAUGCUCCGAAGGGGGCAGCUUUAUACGACAGCAGAGGUUGAACCCUGAACGGUUGGGGCAAGUAUGGACACAACAUAAAAGCUUGAUACAGCUCUGAAUUUGGAUUGUGAAAUAUAAAUAGUUGACACAAUAUAGGUUUCUGACACAGAAUGAAUGUGGUCUAACAACUCAAACAUAAAAACUUAAAAAUUUCAAAUUGGACAUUUAAAAACCUAUUAUGGUCCAAUAUCCAAAAUCUAAAUAUAUGGUUAGAUUCAGCAUAUCAUAAAACCCCAAGAAUUAAAUCUUUGAUGAAACCAAAUCAUGUUCAAUUUUAGAUCCCUUUAAUUAGACCUCAAUGUGGACCAAUUUGAUAACCAGGUCCAAAUAUUAACCAGAUGCUCCGCAGGGCGCAGCUUUAUACGACCGCAUAGGUUGAACCCUGAACGGUCGGGGUAAGUAUGGACACAACAUUUAAGCUGGAUUCAGCUCUAAAUUUGGAUUGUGAUUAAAUAGUUGACACAGCAUAGGUUUUGGACACAGAAUGAAUGUAGUCUAAUGAACUUAAAAUAAUUUUUUUGUCUUUGAGCAAUCACUAUGCUGUUGAAUAUUAAUCCUCUCAAAAAAAUGGUUGAAGAAAUUUUCUUUUUAUUUAUGAAAUCUGAAAUGAGAAAAAUUAACCCCCCCCCCCCCCACCACCAUUUUUUUUUCACAUCCCCCUUUCCCUUUUUUCAAAACUGAUCUCAAUUCAAAUUUCUAAUGGAGUUUGAAACAAUAACUACUCAUUUAAAUACAUCAUAAAAUAUUAAAAUGUAACAAAAAGUGCUUGUUAUCACUGAAUGGUAAAGAGUGUUUUAAUUUAUCAGUUGGUAGUAAAAGUGAAUAUACAUUGUGCAUUGUAUAAAACAAUGAUUUAAGUUGAUUCAACUACUAUUCUGGACAAAGAAAGAUAACUCCAAUCAAUUGAAAAUUUCUUGCUAUUGCACAAUAUUGUGCAAUUAGAUAUUUCUUGCUAUUGCGCAAUACUGUGCAAUUGAAAAUAUUUGCUAUUGCACAAUACUGUGCAAUUGAAGAUUUCUUGCUAUUGCACAAUACUGUGCAAUUGAACAUUUUUUGCUAUUGCACAAUACUGUGCAAUUGAAGAUUUCUUGCUAUUGCUGAAUACUGUGCAAUUGAAAAUUUCUUGCUAUUGCACAAUACUUAAUAUAAUAAUUUUGGAUCCUGAUUUGAACCAACUUGUAAACUGGGCCCAUAAUCAAAAAUCUAUGUACAUGAUUAAAUUCAGCAUAUCAAAAAAGCCAAAGAAUUCAAUUUUUAUUAAAAUCAAACUUAGUUUAAUUUUGGACCCUUUGGUAUUUAAUGU